UCCUACGGGGGGCAGCAGUGAGGAAUAUUGCACAAUGGGCGAAAGCCUGAUGCAGCAACGCCGCGUGAGCGAUGAAGGCCUUCGGGUCGUAAAGCUCUGUCCUCAAGGAAGAUAAUGACGGUACUUGAGGAGGAAGCCCCGGCUAACUACGUGCCAGCAGCCGCGGUAAUACGUAGGGGGCUAGCGUUAUCCGGAAUUACUGGGCGUAAAGGGUGCGUAGGUGGUUUCUUAAGUCAGGAGUGAAAGGCUACGGCUCAACCGUAGUAAGCUUUUGAAACUGAGAAACUUGAGUGCAGGAGAGGAGAGUAGAAUUCCUAGUGUAGCGGUGAAAUGCGUAGAUAUUAGGAGGGAUACCAGUUGCGAAGGCGGCUCUCUGGACUGUAACUGACACUGAGGCACGAAAGCGUGGGGAGCAAACAGGAUUAGAUACCCCGGUAGUCCU
RNAcentral lists this ribosomal RNA (442 nucleotides) under uncultured bacterium. RNAcentral describes it as "bacterial SSU rRNA". It matches the Rfam family "Bacterial small subunit ribosomal RNA", at positions 337 to 797 of the family's 1533-position model. The record is from RNAcentral.